UCGGCGAUGGACAUGCCAG
This 19-nucleotide unclassified non-coding RNA is filed under the name Chlamydomonas reinhardtii. RNAcentral's name for it is "small RNA Cre_2703". Lineage: Eukaryota; Viridiplantae; Chlorophyta; Chlorophyceae; Chlamydomonadales; Chlamydomonadaceae. The record is from RNAcentral.